AAUGAACGCNGCGGCAGGCCUAACACAUGCAAGUCGAACGGUAACAGGAAGCAGCUUGCUUCUUUGCUGACGAGUGGCGGACGGGUGAGUAAUGUCUGGGAAACUGCCUGAUGGAGGGGGAUAACUACUGGAAACGGUAGCUAAUACCGCAUAACGUCGCAAGACCAAAGAGGGGGACCUUCGGGCCUCUUGCCAUCGGAUGUGCCCAGAUGGGAUUAGCUAGUAGGUGGGGUAACGGCUCACCUAGGCGACGAUCCCUAGCUGGUCUGAGAGGAUGACCAGCCACACUGGAACUGAGACACGGUCCAGACUCCUACGGGAGGCAGCAGUGGGGAAUAUUGCACAAUGGGCGCAAGCCUGAUGCAGCCAUGCCGCGUGUAUGAAGAAGGCCUUCGGGUUGUAAAGUACUUUCAGCGGGGAGGAAGGGAGUAAAGUUAAUACCUUUGCUCAUUGACGUUACCCGCAGAAGAAGCACCGGCUAACUCCGUGCCAGCAGCCGCGGUAAUACGGAGGGUGCAAGCGUUAAUCGGAAUUACUGGGCGUAAAGCGCACGCAGGCGGUUUGUUAAGUCAGAUGUGAAAUCCCCGGGCUCAACCUGGGAACUGCAUCUGAUACUGGCAAGCUUGAGUCUCGUAGAGGGGGGUAGAAUUCCAGGUGUAGCGGUGAAAUGCGUAGAGAUCUGGAGGAAUACCGGUGGCGAAGGCGGCCCCCUGGACGAAGACUGACGCUCAGGUGCGAAAGCGUGGGGAGCAACAGAUA
RNAcentral lists this ribosomal RNA (759 nucleotides) under Enterobacteriaceae bacterium DHL-19. RNAcentral's name for it is "bacterial SSU rRNA". It matches the Rfam family "Bacterial small subunit ribosomal RNA", at positions 28 to 777 of the family's 1533-position model. Lineage: Bacteria; Pseudomonadati; Pseudomonadota; Gammaproteobacteria; Enterobacterales; Enterobacteriaceae. The record is from RNAcentral.